Molecule: small RNA, 567 nt
Filed under: Plasmodium praefalciparum (nom. ined.)
Lineage: Eukaryota; Apicomplexa; Aconoidasida; Haemosporida; Plasmodiidae
Description: Plasmodium sp. gorilla clade G1 ncRNA
Source: RNAcentral
GGUUUAACGUAUGCCUUGAAGUGUUUACGUAUAUAUAUAUAUAUAUAUAUAUAUAUAUAUAUAUAUAUAUGUAAAGAUUUAUUUGCGAAUAUAAAUAUUAUUUACCUGCGAAUAUUGAUAGCAUGUUAUUGUUUGUUAUUUUUUCAGAAAAUUAUAUAGUUAAUUAUUUGGAAAAAUAGCAAAUAAUAUUAUGUUAAUAUAACAAUUAGUAGGAGUGUAACAUAUAAUAUAUAUUAGUAGUAGUAAAGAAAAUUCGGUAAUGAUGGGUAUAAUUUCUUAUAGUUUGUAAUACAUACGACUUAAGAAUAGAAGAGUAAAAAGAUUUAUGAUAGUUUUUGUGUUUUAAUGAGAACAUAUCAUAUAAUAUAUAGUCCACUAUUAUUAUAUUUUUAUUGAAUAUAAAUAGUAGGAUAGCUGUUCUGACCACAUUUAAAAUAGUUUAUUAUAAAAUUGAACAUUGCAUUAGAAAAGGAGAACCUUUGUUUAUUUUCCUUUUGCAUAUAUAUUACCUAUACAUUUGUUAUGGUAUAUACGUCAUGUAGUUUUAACUACGGGGAGGGUUAAAUA